CCUACGGGUGGCAGCAGUGAGGAAUAUUGGUCAAUGGGCGCGAGCCUGAACCAGCCAAGUAGCGUGAAGGAUGACUGCCCUACGGGUUGUACACUACUGUUAUAAAGGCAUAAAGUGAGGCACGUGUGCCUUUUUGUAUGUACUUUAUGAAUAAGGCUCGGCUAAUUCCGCGCCAGCAGCCGCGGUAAUACGGAGGAUCCGAGCGUGAUCCGGAUUUUUUGGGUUUAAAGGUAACGUAGAUGGGUUGUUAAGUCAGUUGUGAAAGUUUGCGGCUCAACCGUAAAAUUGCAAUUGAUACUGGCAGCCGUGAGUACAGUUGAGGUAGGCGGAAUUCGUGGGGUAGCGGUUAAAUGCUUAGAUAUCACGAAGAACUCCGAUUGCGAAGGCAGCCUACUAAACUGCCACUGACAUUGAUGCUCGAAAGUGUGGGUAUCAAACAGGAUUAGAUACCCCUGUAGUC
RNAcentral lists this ribosomal RNA (460 nucleotides) under uncultured bacterium. RNAcentral describes it as "partial 16S ribosomal RNA". It matches the Rfam family "Bacterial small subunit ribosomal RNA", at positions 338 to 795 of the family's 1533-position model. The record is from RNAcentral.